UUUGAUCCUGGCUCAGAUUGAACGCUGGCGGCAUGCCUUACACAUGCAAGUCGAACGGUAACGCGGGGCAACCUGGCGACGAGUGGCGAACGGGUGAGUAAUAUAUCGGAACGUGCCCAAUCGUGGGGGAUAACGUAGAGAAAUUUACGCUAAUACCGCAUACGAUCUAAGGAUGAAAGCGGGGGAUCGCAAGACCUCGCGCGAUUGGAGCGGCUGAUAUCAGAUUAGGUUGUUGGUGAGGUAAAAGCUCACCAAGCCGACGAUCUGUAGCUGGUUUGAGAGAACGACCAGCCACACUGGGACUGAGACACGGCCCAGACUCCUACGGGAGGCAGCAGUGGGGAAUUUUGGACAAUGGGCGAAAGCCUGAUCCAGCAAUGCCGCGUGCAGGAAGAAGGCCUUCGGGUUGUAAACUGCUUUUGUACGGAACGAAACGGCUCUUUCUAAUAAAGAGGGCUAAUGACGGUACCGUAAGAAUAAGCACCGGCUAA
This 491-nucleotide ribosomal RNA is filed under the name denitrifying bacterium W128b. Its description in RNAcentral is "bacterial SSU rRNA". It matches the Rfam family "Bacterial small subunit ribosomal RNA", at positions 12 to 500 of the family's 1533-position model. Lineage: Bacteria; Pseudomonadati; Pseudomonadota; Betaproteobacteria. The record is from RNAcentral.